RNAcentral lists this ribosomal RNA (492 nucleotides) under uncultured bacterium. Its description in RNAcentral is "partial 16S ribosomal RNA". It matches the Rfam family "Bacterial small subunit ribosomal RNA", at positions 29 to 507 of the family's 1533-position model. The record is from RNAcentral.
AGUGAACGCUGGCGGUAGGCCUAACACAUGCAAGUCGAACGGCAGCACAGUAAGAGCUUGCUCUUACGGGUGGCGAGUGGCGGACGGGUGAGGAAUACAUCGGAAUCUACUUUUUCUUGGGGGAUAACGUAGGGAAACUUACGCUAAUACCGCAUACGACCUACGGGUGGAAGCAGGGGAUCUUCGGACCUUUCGCGAUUGUAUGAGCCGGUGUCGCAUUAGCUAGUUGGCGGGGUAAGGGCCCACCAAGGCGACGAUCCGUAGCUGGCCUGAGAGGAUGAUCAGCCACACUGGAACUGAGACACGGUCCAGACUCCUACGGGAGGCAGCAGUGGGGAAUCUUGGGCAAUGGGCGAAAGCCUGACCCAGCAAUACCGCGUGAGUGAAGAAGGCCUUCGGGUUGUAAAGCUCUUUUGUUGGGAAAGAAAGGCAGCAGGAUAAUCCCCCGACGUCCUGACGGUACCCAAAGAAUAAGCACCGGCUAACUUCGUG